RNAcentral lists this ribosomal RNA (485 nucleotides) under uncultured bacterium. RNAcentral's name for it is "bacterial SSU rRNA". It matches the Rfam family "Bacterial small subunit ribosomal RNA", at positions 29 to 526 of the family's 1533-position model. The record is from RNAcentral.
AAUGAACGUUGGCGGCGUGGAUUAGGCAUGCAAGUCGAAUGAAUCCCGGGUAGCAAUAUCCGGGGGAAAUGGCGAAAGGGGCAGUAAUGUAUGGGUAACGUACCCGGGGGUCGUGGAUAGCCAUCCUAACGAAUGGGUAAUACACGGCGAUUCGGCGAGGGGACAUCCUCUUGCCGGGAAAGAAUUUCGCCUCCGGAGCGGCUCAUAUCGUAUUAGCUAGUUGGUGAGGUAACGGCUCACCAAGGCGAAGAUGCGUAGCGGGUGUGAGAGCACGACCCGCGCCACUGGCACUGAGACACUGGCCAGACACCUACGGGUGGCUGCAGUCGAGGAUCUUCGGCAAUGGGCGAAAGCCUGACCGAGCGACGCCGCGUGGAUGAUGAAGGCCUUCGGGUUGUAAAAUCCUGUCGAGGGGGAUCAAGGGCAACUUGAGUGAUCCCUGGAGGAAGCACGGGCUAAGUUCGUGCCAGCAGCCGCAGUAAAAC